CCCUAGUAACUGCGAGUGAAGCGGGAAAAGCUCAAAUUUAAAAUCUGGCGGUCUUUGGCUGUCCGAGUUGUAAUCUAGAGAAGUGUUAUCCGCGCUGGACCGUGUACAAGUCUCCUGGAAUGGAGCGUCAUAGAGGGUGAGAAUCCCGUCUUUGACACGGACUGCCAGGGCUUUGUGAUGCGCUCUCAAAGAGUCGAGUUGUUUGGGAAUGCAGCUCAAAAUGGGUGGUAAAUUCCAUCUAAAGCUAAAUAUUGGCGAGAGACCGAUAGCGAACAAGUACCGUGAGGGAAAGAUGAAAAGAACUUUGGAAAGAGAGUUAAACAGUACGUGAAAUUGCUGAAAGGGAAACGCUUGAAGUCAGUCGCGUUGGCCAGGGAUCAACCUUGCUUUUGCUGGSCGUACUUCCUGGUUAAUGGGUCAGCAUCAAUUUUGACCGUUGGAUAAAGGUUAGGGGAAUGUGGCAUCUUCGGAUGUGUWAUAGCCCUUGGUCGCAUACAACGGCUGGGAUUGAGGAACUCAGCACGCCGCAAGGCCGGGUAUUUAUACCACGUUCGUGCUUAGGAUGCUGGCAUAAUGGCUUUAAUCGACCCGUCUUGAAACACGGACCAAGGAGUCUAACAUGCCUGCGAGUGUUUGGGUGGAAAACCCGAGCGCGUAAUGAAAGUGAAAGUUGAGAUYCCUGUCGUGGGGAGCAUCGACGCCCGGACCAGACCUUUUGUGACGGCUCCGCGGUAGAGCAUGUAUGUUGGGACCC
This 754-nucleotide ribosomal RNA is filed under the name Galerina vittiformis. RNAcentral describes it as "eukaryotic LSU rRNA". It matches the Rfam family "Eukaryotic large subunit ribosomal RNA", at positions 78 to 817 of the family's 3401-position model. Lineage: Eukaryota; Fungi; Basidiomycota; Agaricomycetes; Agaricales; Galerinaceae. The record is from RNAcentral.